CAGGGCAGGAUCCGGAAGGCUUCGUGAUCUGCCCUACCUCUGAAGCUGCUGGAGAUGGCCACUUCACAACUGGAACCUGCCCCACGCCUCUGGAGGCCCCCCUCCUCCUGCAUGCUCGGCAAGGCAGGGAAGUGUGAGGCAACCACUUCCCACACAGCCAGGACCCCCCCCCCUCCUUGGUAUUGAUGCCGUUGGCCAAAGAGUCAACCAAGACCUUACAGAGGAACCAUCACAGCCCGGGCCCCAACUGACUAGACCAGACCAGACCAGACCAGAGCUGACCAGACCAGUGCUGAAGACUUGGGACACGGGACCAGGGAGAAGCAGCAGGGAUGGAGCUUAUCAAAUGAACCGUGUAGCAGAGCCGGUGAGAAGCCAGUCAUCCCUGAUAUACAGUCAAGAGGCAAAUCCAAGUGGAGACGACGACAAAGUUAAACAAACAGCUCCAUCCCCUGACCACCUCAAUGUUUUUUUUUUUUUUAACACUAUGAAUAAAUGUCAUCGAAAUGAUUGCAUUCAAGCUGUUAAAUGGUAGUGUGUUCUUAUUUAUUUUAAUCUACUCAUAAAUUGAC
Oncorhynchus mykiss (rainbow trout) is the source of this 572-nucleotide non-coding RNA. The record is from RefSeq and is a predicted model, not a curated record. Lineage: Eukaryota; Metazoa; Chordata; Actinopteri; Salmoniformes; Salmonidae.